RNAcentral lists this ribosomal RNA (468 nucleotides) under uncultured bacterium. RNAcentral describes it as "partial 16S ribosomal RNA". It matches the Rfam family "Bacterial small subunit ribosomal RNA", at positions 28 to 507 of the family's 1533-position model. The record is from RNAcentral.
GAUGAACGCUGGCGGCGUGCUUAACACAUGCAAGUCGAACGGAAAGGCCGAAGCUUGCUUCGGUACUCGAGUGGCGAUCGGGUGAGUAACACGUGGGUGAUCUGCCCUGUACUUCGGGAUAAGCUUGGGAAACUGGGUCUAAUACCGGAUAUGACGAUCUCUUGGAUGGGGUUGUGGAAAGCUUUUGCGGUAUGGGAUGAGCUCGCGGCCUAUCAGCUUGUUGGUGGGGUAAUGGCCUACCAAGGCGUCGACGGGUAGCCGGCCUGAGAGGGUGUACGGCCACAUUGGGACUGAGAUACGGCCCAGACUCCUACGGGAGGCAGCAGUGGGGAAUAUUGCACAAUGGGCGCAAGCCUGAUGCAGCGACGCCGCGUGGGGGAUGACGGCCUUCGGGUUGUAAACUCCUUUCGCAAUCGACGAAGCCUUUUGGUGACGGUAGGUUGAGAAGAAGCACCGGCUAACUACGUG